Small nucleolar RNA from Salvia miltiorrhiza (redroot sage), 80 nucleotides. RefSeq annotates it as small nucleolar RNA Z199. The record is from RefSeq and is a predicted model, not a curated record. Lineage: Eukaryota; Viridiplantae; Streptophyta; Magnoliopsida; Lamiales; Lamiaceae. The transcript has a single exon.
AAAUCAUCUGAUGAGAAAAAUAACUACAACAAUAUGAUCAGAAUAUUCCAUGAUUCUAGUAUUUUAAGUCUCUGAUGAUU